UAAGGAAUAUUGGUCAAUGGACGAAAGUCUGAACCAGCCAUGCCGCGUGAAGGAUUAAGGCCCUCUGGGUUGUAAACUUCUUUUAUCUGGGACGAAAAAAGGGUAUUCUUACUCACUUGACGGUACCAGAGGAAUAAGCACCGGCUAACUCCGUGCCAGCAGCCGCGGUAAUACGGAGGGUGCAAGCGUUAUCCGGAUUUACUGGGUUUAAAGGGUGCGUAGGUGGGUUUGUAAGUCAGUGGUGAAAUCUCCGAGCUUAACUCGGAAACUGCCAUUGAUACUAUAGAUCUUGAAUUAUCUGGAGGUGAGUGGAAUAUGUCAUGUAGCGGUGAAAUGCUUAGAUAUGACAUAGAACACCAAUUGCGAAGGCAGCUCACUACGGAUAUAUUGACACUGAGGCACGAAAGCGUGGGGAUCAAA
RNAcentral lists this ribosomal RNA (420 nucleotides) under uncultured bacterium. Its description in RNAcentral is "bacterial SSU rRNA". It matches the Rfam family "Bacterial small subunit ribosomal RNA", at positions 355 to 772 of the family's 1533-position model. The record is from RNAcentral.